UGGGGAAUAUUGCACAAUGGGCGGAAGCCUGAUGCAGCGACGCCGCGUGGGGGUUGAAGGCGUUCGGGUUGUAAACUCCUUUCGACAGGGACGAAGCUUUUGUGACGGUACCUGAAUAAGAAGCACCGGCUAACUACGUUCCAGCAGCGGCCGUAAUACGUAGGUUGCGAGCGUUGUCCGGAAUUAUUGGGCGUAAAGAGCUCGUAGGUGGUUUGUCGCGUCGUCUGUGAAAUUCCGGGGCAUAACUCCGGGCGUACAGGCGAUACGGGCUGACUUGAGUGAUGUAGGGGAGACUGGAAUUCCUGGGGUAGCGGUGAAAUUCGCAGAUAUCAGGAGAAACACCGAUGGCGAAAGCAGGUCUCGAGGCAGUAACUGACGCUGAGGAGCGAAAGCAUGGGUAGCGAACAGG
Molecule: ribosomal RNA, 409 nt
Filed under: Actinomycetes bacterium
Lineage: Bacteria; Bacillati; Actinomycetota; Actinomycetes
Description: Actinobacteria bacterium partial 16S ribosomal RNA
Rfam family: Bacterial small subunit ribosomal RNA
Source: RNAcentral